UAGGUGACCUGCGGAAGGAUCAUUGUCGAAUCGUCCAACAGAACGACCCGCGAACCGUUGUAUUUAUUCUUUGCCCGAACGGGCCGCGAGCGUCCGUCCCUUCGCCGUCCGUGCGGCGGGGGAGCCGUGACGGUCCCGCGUUGCCCCGUCGGAACAUCCAUCCAAAACCCGGCGCGAUCGGCGUCAAGGAACACGAACGGAAAGAGCUCCGAGACCGCGGCGCCCCGCGUAAAGCGUUGCGCGCCUUCGGUUUUCGAGCGAUUCUUUAGUCAACGAACGACUCUCGGCAACGGAUAUCUCGGCUCUCGCAUCGAUGAAGAACGUAGCGAAAUGCGAUACUUGGUGUGAAUUGCAGAAUCCCGUGAACCAUCGAGUCUUUGAACGCAAGUUGCGCCCUAGGCCAUACGGUCGAGGGCACGUCUGCCUGGGCGUCACGCACUGCGUGCCUCUCCCCUCCGGCGCCCCGUCCCGGGCCUCUGGAGCGGGAGAGCGGAUAUUGGCCCCCCGCGUGCCCCCGGCAUGCGGUCGGCGUAAAAGCUNGGCCGUCGGCGGCGAAGCAUCMCGACAGUUGGUGGUUGACGAGUCCAUUCUCCGAAGCCGGAUGUCGUGACGGCGGCGUCGUCCUCGCGGCCCCGCGACCCCCCCGAAGGGCCGUCUCCGAGACGGCAUCCACACGGCGACCCCAG
RNAcentral lists this unclassified non-coding RNA (686 nucleotides) under Buxus megistophylla. Its description in RNAcentral is "partial contains internal transcribed spacer 1, 5.8S ribosomal RNA, and internal transcribed spacer 2". The record is from RNAcentral. Lineage: Eukaryota; Viridiplantae; Streptophyta; Magnoliopsida; Buxales; Buxaceae.